UUCGCGAUCGUAUAGUGGUCAGUAUGCUCGGCUGUCAUUCUCAGCUACAGCUCAGCUGUCAUCUCAGCUCAGCUCCCGAGAGACCGGGGUUCAAUUCCCCGUCGCGAAA
This 109-nucleotide transfer RNA is filed under the name Ostreococcus tauri. Its description in RNAcentral is "tRNA-Asp". It matches the Rfam family "tRNA". Rfam says of the family: Transfer RNA (tRNA) molecules are approximately 80 nucleotides in length. Their secondary structure includes four short double-helical elements and three loops (D, anti-codon, and T loops). The record is from RNAcentral. Lineage: Eukaryota; Viridiplantae; Chlorophyta; Mamiellophyceae; Mamiellales; Bathycoccaceae.